CCUACGGGGGGCAGCAGUGAGGAAUAUUGGUCAAUGGGCGAGAGUCUGAACCAGCCAAGUCGCGUGAAGGAUGAAGGAUCUAUGGUUUGUAAACUUCUUUUAUAUGGGAAUAAAGUGAGGAACGUGUUCCUUUUUGUAUGUACCAUAUGAAUAAGCAUCGGCUAACUCCGCGCCAGCAGCCGCGGUAAUACGGAGGAUGCGUGCGUUAUCCGGAUUUAUUGGGUUUAAAGGGUGCGUAGGUGGUUAAUUAAGUCAGCGGUGAAAGUUUGUGGCUCAACCAUAAAAUUGCCGGUGAAACUGGAUGACUUGAGUGUAUUUGAGGUAGGCGGAAUGCAUGGUGUAGCGGUGAAAUGCAUAGAUAUCACGCAGAACUCCGAUUGCGAAGGCAGCUUACUAAACUAUAACUGACACUGAAGCACGAAAGCGUGGGGAUCAAACAGGAUUAGAUACCCGAGUAGUC
Molecule: ribosomal RNA, 460 nt
Filed under: uncultured bacterium
Lineage: Bacteria
Description: partial 16S ribosomal RNA
Rfam family: Bacterial small subunit ribosomal RNA
Source: RNAcentral